AGAAUCAACGCUGGCGGCGUGCCUAACACAUGCAAGUCGCACGAGAAAGGGACUUCGGUCCUGAGUAAAGUGGCGCACGGGUGAGUAACACGUGAAUCAUCUACCUCCGAAUGGGGAAUAACUGAGAGAAAUCUUAGCUAAUACCGCAUAAUACCUACGGGUCAAAGCAGCAAUGCGUUUGGAGAGGAGUUCGCGGUCGAUUAGUUAGUUGGCGGGGUAAUGGCCCACCAAGACGAUGAUCGAUAUCCGGCCUGAGAGGGCGCACGGACACACUGGAACUGAAACACGGUCCAGACUCCUACGGGAGGCAGCAGUGGGGAAUUUUGCGCAAUGGGGGAAACCCUGACGCAGCAACGCCGCGUGGAGGAUGAAAUAUCUUGGUAUGUAAACUCCUUUCGAUGGGGAAGAUAAUGACGGUACCAUAGAAGAAGCCCGGCUAACUCGCGCCAACAGCCGC
RNAcentral lists this ribosomal RNA (457 nucleotides) under uncultured bacterium. RNAcentral describes it as "SSU rRNA". It matches the Rfam family "Bacterial small subunit ribosomal RNA", at positions 26 to 518 of the family's 1533-position model. The record is from RNAcentral.